CGAAGACAACUAGGAUGUUGGCUCAGAAGCAGCCAUACAUUCAAAGAGUGCGUAAUAGCUCACUAGUCGAGAGGUCCUGCGCCGAAAAUGUCCGGGGCUAAAACACGACACCGAAGCUGUGGAUCCGAAAGGAUGGUAGAGGAGCAUUCUUAAGUCGACGAAGCUGUACUGUAAGGAGCAGUGGAGAGUUAAGAAGAGAGAAUGCCGGAAUGAGUAGCGAGAUUUAAGUGAGAAUCUUAAAGGCCGAAUAUCUAAGGUUUCCAGGGUAAAGCUGAUCUUCCCUGGGUAAGUCGGGGCCUAAGGCGAGGGCGAGAGCCGUAGUCGAUGGAUAACAGGUUGAAAUUCCUGUACUGCUUAUGGACAGAACUGUGGGGACGCAGAAGGAGAGCACGAGCCGGAAAUGGAAAAGCCGGUACAAGCGUAUAGCAGUCAUGCAGGCAAAACCGCAUGAAAAAUGUAAAGCGUUAUGUGGAUCGAACAUUAGUAGAGAAGCGUGUGAGCCAGCUGCCAAGAAAAGCCGCUAUUGCUUCAUAAGUACCCGUACCGUAAACCGACACAGGUGGAUGAGGAGAGAAUCCUAAGGCCGGCGGGAGAAGUGUUGUUAAGGAACUCGGCAAAAUGACUCCGUAACUUCGGGAGAAGGAGUGCCACAGAGAUGUGGCCGCAGAGAAAUGGCCCAAGCAACUGUUUAGCAAAAACACAGGUCUAUGCAAAACCGAAAGGUGAGGUAUAUGGGCUGACGCCUGCCCGGUGCUGGAAGGUUAAGAGGAGAGGUUAGCGCAAGCGAAGCUUUGAAUUUAAGCCCCAGUAAACGGCGGCCGUAACUAUAACGGUCCUAAGGUAGCGAAAUUCCUUGUCGGGUAAGUUCCGACCCGCACGAAAGGCGUAAUGAUUUGGGCACUGUCUCAACAACACACCCGGUGAAAUUGAAAUACCAGUGAAGAUGCUGGUUACCUGCGCCAGGACGGAAAGACCCCAUGGAGCUUUACUCCAGUUUGAUACUGGGAUUCGGUACUGUCUGUACAGGAUAGGUGGGAGGCUAGGAAAUGGUGACGCCAGUUGCCAUGGAGCCAACCUUGGGAUACCACCCUUACAGUACUGGGUUUCUAACCUGCAGCCGUAACCCGGCUGGGGGACAAUGUCUGACGGGGAGUUUGACUGGGGCGGUCGCCUCCGAAAGAGUAUCGGAGGCGCUCAAAGGUUCCCUCAGAAUGGUUGGAAACCAUUCGAAGAGUGCAAAGGCAGAAGGGAGCUUGACUGCGACACCGACGGGUGGAGCAGGUACGAAAGUAGGACUUAGUGAUCCGGUGGUAUAAAGUGGGAUUGCCAUCGCUCAACGGAUAAAAGCUACCCUGGGGAUAACAGGCUUAUCACUCCCAAGAGUUCACAUCGACGGAGUGGUUUGGCACCUCGAUGUCGGCUCAUCGCAUCCUGGAGCUGUAGCAGGUUCCAAGGGUUGGGCUGUUCGCCCAUUAAAGCGGUACGCGAGCUGGGUUCAGAACGUCGUGAGACAGUUCGGUCCCUAUCCGGCGUGGGCGUAGGAUAUUUGAGAGGAGCUGUCCUUAGUACGAGAGGACCGGGAUGGACGGACCACUGGUGUAUCUGUUGGCUAUCAGAGCCAUGGCAGAGUAGCCAAGUCCGGCAGGGAUAAACGCUGAAGGCAUCUAAGCGUGAAGCCCCCCUCAAGAUAAGAUAUCCCAUCUUCGGAGUAAGACCCCUUGAAGACUACAAGGUUGAUAGGCUUCAGGUGUAAGUGCGGUAACGCACUCAGCUGAGAAGUACUAAUAGGUCGAGGACUUAUCCU
Molecule: ribosomal RNA, 1804 nt
Filed under: human gut metagenome
Description: bacterial LSU rRNA
Rfam family: Bacterial large subunit ribosomal RNA
Source: RNAcentral